Regulatory RNA element from Ophiophagus hannah (king cobra), 31 nucleotides. It matches the Rfam family "Iron response element II". From Rfam's summary of the family: IRE, TFRC, SLC40A1, SDHB, SLC11A2, CDC42BPA, ACO2, ALAS2_H.SAPIENS, CDC14A, EPAS1, ALAS2, qoxD, Hao1, NDUFS1, transferrin, Aconitate. The record is from Rfam. NCBI's taxonomy places the organism in Eukaryota, Metazoa, Chordata, Lepidosauria, Squamata, Elapidae.
CCAUUAUCGGGGGCAGGGUCUCCCAUAAUGU